CGGGGUGCAGCAGGCGCGAAACCUUAGCAAUGUGCGAAAGCACGACUGGGUCAGUCCGAGUGAUUCCUGAUAAAGGAGUCUUUUGCUUGUCCUAAAAGCACAGGUGAAUAAGGGGUGGGCAAGUCUGGUGUCAGCCGCCGCGGUAAUACCAGCACCUCGAGUGGUCAGGACGUUUAUUGGGCCUAAGGCAUCCGUAGCCGGCUCUGCAAGUCUUCGGUUAAAUCCACCUGCUCAACAGAUGGGCUGCUGGAGAUACUACAGAGCUAGGGAGUGGGAGAGGCAGACGGUAUUCAGUGGGUAGGGGUAAAAUCCUCUGAUCCAUUGAGGACCACCAGUGGCGAAGGCGGUCUGCCAGAACACGUUCGACGGUGAGGGAUGAAAGCUGGGGGAGCAAACCGGAUUAGAUACCCGGGUAGUCCCAGCUGUAAACGAUGCAAACUCGGUGAUGCAUUGGCUUAUGGCCAAUGCAGUGCCGCAGGGAAGCCGUUAAGUUUGCCGCCUGGGAAGUACGGACGCAAGUCUGAAACUUAAAGGAAUUGGCGGGGGAGCAC
RNAcentral lists this ribosomal RNA (551 nucleotides) under uncultured archaeon. RNAcentral describes it as "bacterial SSU rRNA". It matches the Rfam family "Archaeal small subunit ribosomal RNA", at positions 326 to 879 of the family's 1478-position model. The record is from RNAcentral.